This 561-nucleotide ribosomal RNA is filed under the name Triticum aestivum (bread wheat). Its description in RNAcentral is "partial small subunit ribosomal RNA". Lineage: Eukaryota; Viridiplantae; Streptophyta; Magnoliopsida; Poales; Poaceae. The record is from RNAcentral.
AUGAGUCUACUUUGUUGGAACUGACGUGGGGCUGGCAAACCCGCGGCAGUUCAAGAGCUUCGUGACCUAGCGAAGCAACAUGCCCUCUCUGUACUUUGCAUUCUUGAGACUCAAAUAGAGGGAACGGGAGUUGAGAAUAUGGUGGGCUCUCUAGGUUUUAAUAAGAGCUUUGCUGUUAGUAGCUCGGGGAGAAGUGGUGGUCUAGGAAUUUUCUGGAAUAAAGAAAUAAAGCUUGAGAUUGUUGGUUAUUCGCAGUACCAUAUUGAUGCACUUAUUCAUGAUCUUGUUGAUGUGGAAAUAAGGGUUACGUUUGUGUACGGGGAAGCUCAAGUAAGUGAAAGAUACAAGACAUGGGACAUGCUUCGUGGAAUCGUGGGUGCAAACGACGUGCCAUGGUUGGUACUAGGAGAUUUUAAUGAAGUGCUACACGCUCAUGAACACGAUGGAGUGGGUAACAGAAGCCAAACACAGAUGGACGCGUUUAGAGAUGCACUUGAUACAUGUGGUCUGAUGGAUAUAGGAUACACUGGAACAGAUUGGACUUUUGAGAAAAAAAAGUAG